Molecule: ribosomal RNA, 795 nt
Filed under: Streptomyces sp. DB10
Lineage: Bacteria; Bacillati; Actinomycetota; Actinomycetes; Kitasatosporales; Streptomycetaceae
Description: bacterial SSU rRNA
Rfam family: Bacterial small subunit ribosomal RNA
Source: RNAcentral
CGUGCUUACACAUGCAAGUCGAACGAUGAAGCCCUUCGGGGUGGAUUAGUGGCGAACGGGUGAGUAACACGUGGGCAAUCUGCCCUGCACUCUGGGACAAGCCCUGGAAACGGGGUCUAAUACCGGAUAACACCCCCUCUCGCAUGGGAGGGGGUUGAAAGCUCCGGCGGUGCAGGAUGAGCCCGCGGCCUAUCAGCUUGUUGGUGAGGUAGAAGCUCACCAAGGCGACGACGGGUAGCCGGCCUGAGAGGGCGACCGGCCACACUGGGACUGAGACACGGCCCAGACUCCUACGGGAGGCAGCAGUGGGGAAUAUUGCACAAUGGGCGAAAGCCUGAUGCAGCGACGCCGCGUGAGGGAUGACGGCCUUCGGGUUGUAAACCUCUUUCAGCAGGGAAGAAGCGAAAGUGACGGUACCUGCAGAAGAAGCGCCGGCUAACUACGUGCCAGCAGCCGCGGUAAUACGUAGGGCGCAAGCGUUGUCCGGAAUUAUUGGGCGUAAAGAGCUCGUAGGCGGCUUGUCACGUCGGUUGUGAAAGCCCGGGGCUUAACCCCGGGUCUGCAGUCGAUACGGGCAGGCUAGAGUGUGGUAGGGGAGAUCGGAAUUCCUGGUGUAGCGGUGAAAUGCGCAGAUAUCAGGAGGAACACCGGUGGCGAAGGCGGAUCUCUGGGCCAUUACUGACGCUGAGGAGCGAAAGCGUGGGGAGCGAACAGGAUUAGAUACCCUGGUAGUCCACGCCGUAAACGGUGGGAACUAGGUGUUGGCGACAUUCCACGUCGUCGGUGCCGCAGCUA